This 254-nucleotide ribosomal RNA is filed under the name uncultured bacterium. RNAcentral describes it as "partial 16S ribosomal RNA". It matches the Rfam family "Bacterial small subunit ribosomal RNA", at positions 524 to 776 of the family's 1533-position model. The record is from RNAcentral.
UACGUGGGGAGCAAGCGUUGUCCGGAUUUAUUGGGCGUAAAGAGCUCGUAGGCGGCUUAGAAAGUCAGGUGUGAAACCUCCAGGCUCAACCUGGAGACGCCACUUGAUACUUCUAUGGCUUGAGUUCGGUAGGGGACUUCGGAAUUCCUGGUGUAGCGGUGAAAUGCGCAGAUAUCAGGAGGAACACCGAUGGCGAAGGCAGAAGUCUGGGCCGACACUGACGCUGAGGAGCGAAAGCGUGGGGAGCGAACAGG